Molecule: ribosomal RNA, 1757 nt
Filed under: Sesleria comosa
Lineage: Eukaryota; Viridiplantae; Streptophyta; Magnoliopsida; Poales; Poaceae
Description: partial small subunit ribosomal RNA
Source: RNAcentral
UUACUUUCAUUUUUCUAUAAAAUAAAAUUGUUUCCGAUUCACCAAACCAAUUCUUAUUUCUUUCUGAAGGAAUAAAUAAAAAGAAUAAAAAUACUGGAAUUCUUCAUUUUUGCUUAUCUCAAUGAGAUAAGCAAAAAUGAAAAAUGGGUUUAAUUGGUUAAAUUCAAAAAGUUAAUCAAAUAACUUCGUUACCUAGUUAUUACCUAACUAAGGAUAUUUAUUAAAAUACAAAAAAAGUUGCAUUUUUUUACUUUCUAUUAAUUUUGAUAUUUCUUUAAAACAAAGAUGAAGCAGCUCUCUUGUUUCGUAACUGAUUAAUUGAAUUCCAAUAAAAAGAAAACCUAUGUUUAUAAGAAAUUAUCAAAUAGUCGUUACUUCAUACUUCAUAUAGAACUGAAAUCCUAAUGACUAUAAUUACCUAAGUUUUAGAAUGCCUUGUUUAAGAGACUCAGUAUUUUUUGUUUUGAUUGGAAUUCCAUUAUGGAAUACCAUUCUGAACUUAAUUAACUAUUUGAAUUUUCCCUUCUUUUUAUCUUUUUAUCCACCCGUCUUAUAUAGGGGAUAGGCUUCCGUACCAUAUAUCUAUAUAUGGAGUAUACUUGAUAUAUAAAUAUCUAUAAAUAGAUUUAAACGGGAAACCUUUCUAUAUAUUCUAUAUUAUUAAAACAAAGUAUAAAAUAUAUACGGAAAAAAUUGACUGAAAUUCUUGUCUUAUCCGGAUUAGACAAGAAUUUCAGUCAAAAAUAAUUCAGAAUUUCAGUAUCUUUCAAUAUCUAAGUAUAAAUACCAAGAAAAAGAAGAAAGAAGGAUUUAUUUGCGGCAAUAGAUGUCUUUCACAUACAACUAAAAAAAGUAAUUUCCUUUUUGAAUGGCAGUUCCAAAAAAACGUACUUCAAUGUCAAAAAAGCGUAUUCGUAAAAAUAUUUGGAAGAAAAAGACUUAUUUUUCCAUAGUACACGCUUAUUCUUUAGCAAAAUCAAAAUCAUUUUCCAGCGGCAAUGAGCAUCCAAAACCAAAGGGUUUUUCUGGGAAACAAACAAAUAAUAAGGGUUUGGAAUAAUCUGAAUUGACCUAUCAAAAAAUAAUUCCAAUUAUUUAAUAUGAAUAAUUUGGAUUAAUUAAUUAAUUAAUGUACUUUGAUAUGUGUCGAAUUACUCAACACAAUAUUAUUAGAACAAACCCCUCUUAUAUCUGCUAUAUGGGAUAAAAGUUUUGGUAUACCGUGUGCUAAGUAUUCUUGAUCAAUGAACUUUUCAUAAUAGAAUUCUCAUAUUUUAUUAUGAGAAUUCUAUUAUGAAAAGUGGAGUAUUCUUGCAAUAGGACUUACCACUUCUAUCUAUUUUCUCCAAAAUCAUUGGUUUAAGGUUAGUAAAUCCUAUUAAUAAGAGCAUAAAGACUUUCAUUCUAUAAAUUUUUAAAAAAUCCAAAAAACCUUUUCUAUUUAUCCAUUUUAAUUUAAUCAUUAAAUAGAAACAAACCUUUUUGAAUUUUGUCCAUUUUAUUGAAAUAAUUUAUAAAAUUUAAAGGAGAAACUAAUUAGAAAAAAAAAAUUAGUUCUAUAUUGCAACUUAUAAAAGAGGAGUUCCAACUCUUUCAAGCAGUGUUUCCAUUAGGCAAAGCAAGAGUUUAUUGUAAAAAAAAGAGCAACGAUACUACUAAACGAAGUAUAUUUUAAUGAAGACUCUAAGGUUCCUAAAUUUUAUGGACUUUCCCAAUCUCGACGAUUCGCGAGAUAAUAGCUAUUAUUCUUUUAAGUU